CAGUCGCCGCGGGAAAACGAAGGGGGCUAGCGUUGUUCGGAUUUACUGGGCGUAAAGCGCACGUAGGCGGAUCGAUCAGUCAGGGGUGAAAUCCCAGAGCUCAACUCUGGAACUGCCUUUGAUACUGUCGAUCUGGAGUAUGGAAGAGGUGAGUGGAAUUCCGAGUGUAGUGGUGAAAUUCGUAGAUAUUCGGAGGAACACCAGUGGCGAAGGCGGCUCACUGGUCCAUUACUGACGCUGAGGUGCGAAAGCGUGGGGAGCAAACAGGAUUAGAUACCCCGGUAGUCCCUGUCUCUUAUAC
RNAcentral lists this ribosomal RNA (301 nucleotides) under uncultured bacterium. Its description in RNAcentral is "partial 16S ribosomal RNA". It matches the Rfam family "Bacterial small subunit ribosomal RNA", at positions 509 to 807 of the family's 1533-position model. The record is from RNAcentral.